GACGAACGCUGGCGGCGUGCUUAACACAUGCAAGUCGAACGGAAAGGCCCUGCUUUUGUGGGGUGCUCGAGUGGCGAACGGGUGAGUAACACGUGAGUAACCUGCCCUUGACUUUGGGAUAACUUCAGGAAACUGGGGCUAAUACCGGAUAGGAGCUCCUGCUGCAUGGUGGGGGUUGGAAAGUUUCGGCGGUUGGGGAUGGACUCGCGGCUUAUCAGCUUGUUGGUGGGGUAGUGGCUUACCAAGGCUUUGACGGGUAGCCGGCCUGAGAGGGUGACCGGCCACAUUGGGACUGAGAUACGGCCCAGACUCCUACGGGAGGCAGCAGUGGGGAAUAUUGCACAAUGGGCGGAAGCCUGACGCAGCAACGCCGCGUGCGGGAUGACGGCCUUCAGGUUGUAAACCGCUUUCGCCUGUGACGAAGCGUGAGUGACGGUAAUGGGUAAAGAAGCACCGGCUAACUACGUG
This 468-nucleotide ribosomal RNA is filed under the name uncultured bacterium. RNAcentral describes it as "partial 16S ribosomal RNA". It matches the Rfam family "Bacterial small subunit ribosomal RNA", at positions 28 to 507 of the family's 1533-position model. The record is from RNAcentral.